GACGAACGUUGGCGGCGUGCUUAACACAUGCAAGUCGAACGGAAAGGCCCUGCUUUUGUGGGGUGCUCGAGUGGCGAACGGGUGAGUAACACGUGAGUAACCUGCCCUUGACUUUGGGAUAACUUCAGGAAACUGGGGCUAAUACCGGAUAGGAGCUCCUGCUGCAUGGUGGGGGUUGGAAAGUUUCGGCGGUUGGGGAUGGACUCGCGGCUUAUCAGCUUGUUGGUGGGGUAGUGGCUUACCAAGGCUUUGACGGGUAGCCGGCCUGAGAGGGUGACCGGCCACAUUGGGACUGAGAUACGGCCCAGACUCCUACGGGGGGCAGCAGUGGGGAAUAUUGCACAAUGGGCGGAAGCCUGAUGCAGCAACGCCGCGUGCGGGAUGACGGCCUUCGGGUUGUAAACCGCCUUCGCCUGUGACGAAGCGUGAGUGACGGUAAUGGGUAAAGAAGCACCGGCUAACUACGUGCCAGCAGCCGCGGUGAUACGUAGGGUGCGAGCGUUGUCCGGAUUUAUUGGGCGUAAAGGGCUCGUAGGUGGUUGAUCGCGUCGGAAGUGUAAUCUUGGGGCUUAACCCUGAGCGUGCUUUCGAUACGGGUUGACUUGAGGAAGGUAGGGGAGAAUGGAAUUCCUGGUGGAGCGGUGGAAUGCGCAGAUAUCAGGAGGAACACCAGUGGCGAAGGCGGUUCUCUGGGCCUUUCCUGACGCUGAGGAGCGAAAGCGUGGGGAGCGAACAGGCUUAGAUACCCUGGUAGUCCACGCUGUAAACGGUGGGUACUAGGUGUGGGGUCCAUUCCACGGGUUCCGUGCCGUAGCUAACGCUUUAAGUACCCCGCCUGGGGAGUACGGCCGCAAGGCUAAAACUCAAAGGAAUUGACGGGGCCCCGCACAAGCGGCGGAGCAUGCGGAUUAAUUCGAUGCAACGCGUAGAACCUUACCUGGGUUUGACAUGGAUCGGGAGUGCUCAGAGAUGGGUGUGCCUCUUUUGGGGUCGGUUCACAGGUGGUGCAUGGCUGUCGUCAGCUCGUGUCGUGAGAUGUUGGGUUAAGUCCCGCAACGAGCGCAACCCCUGUUCACUGUUGCCAGCACGUUAUGGUGGGGACUCAGUGGAGACCGCCGGGGUCAACUCGGAGGAAGGUGGGGAUGACGUCAAGUCAUCAUGCCCCUUAUGUCCAGGGCUUCACGCAUGCUACAAUGGCUGGUACAGAGAGUGGCGAGCCUGUGAGGGUGAGCGAAUCUCGGAAAGCCGGUCUCAGUUCGGAUUGGGGUCUGCAACUCGACCUCAUGAAGUCGGAGUCGCUAGUAAUCGCAGAUCAGCAACGCUGCGGUGAAUACGUUCCCGGGGCU
RNAcentral lists this ribosomal RNA (1346 nucleotides) under uncultured bacterium. Its description in RNAcentral is "partial 16S ribosomal RNA". It matches the Rfam family "Bacterial small subunit ribosomal RNA", at positions 28 to 1381 of the family's 1533-position model. The record is from RNAcentral.